This 283-nucleotide ribosomal RNA is filed under the name Escherichia coli. RNAcentral describes it as "partial 23S ribosomal RNA". It matches the Rfam family "Bacterial large subunit ribosomal RNA", at positions 1 to 275 of the family's 2925-position model. Lineage: Bacteria; Pseudomonadati; Pseudomonadota; Gammaproteobacteria; Enterobacterales; Enterobacteriaceae. The record is from RNAcentral.
GGGUUGUGAGGUUAAGCGACUAAGCGUACACGGUGGAUGCCCUGGCAGUCAGAGGCGAUGAAGGACGUGCUAAUCUGCGAUAAGCGUCGGUAAGGUGAUAUGAACCGUUAUAACCGGCGAUUUCCGAAUGGGGAAACCCAGUGUGUUUCGACACACUAUCAUUAACUGAAUCCAUAGGUUAAUGAGGCGAACCGGGGGAACUGAAACAUCUAAGUACCCCGAGGAAAAGAAAUCAACCGAGAUUCCCCCAGUAGCGGCGAGCGAACGGGGAGGAGCCCAGAGC